Long non-coding RNA from Anguilla anguilla (European eel), 307 nucleotides. RefSeq lists it as uncharacterized. The record is from RefSeq and is a predicted model, not a curated record. NCBI's taxonomy places the organism in Eukaryota, Metazoa, Chordata, Actinopteri, Anguilliformes, Anguillidae. The transcript is spliced from 3 exons.
AUACAUACUCAUGGAAUGUAGCAGAACGCACAUCCACCCCAUAUCUUUUUCCUUCGCUUUUUUUUUUCUUUCAAGUUUUCGCUCUAGGCAGGUCCCGAUGACUCGAGGCAGCAGGUUUCGGUCACGCAGUCGACACAGCAGGCGAGCGUCCGUACGGAAACAGGGUCCAAAAAUUCCACCGUUUUAUAGCAAGGCUGGUGUUGUAUGCCGUUUGUAUCAGAGGGUUGCAUACGAGCGGAAAGUAUAGGAGAACAGCUGGCCCUUCGGGAUUUUGUAAGUAAUCCUACGGCUCGUUUUGAGCCCAGAC